RNAcentral lists this ribosomal RNA (377 nucleotides) under uncultured eukaryote. Its description in RNAcentral is "partial 18S ribosomal RNA". It matches the Rfam family "Eukaryotic small subunit ribosomal RNA", at positions 592 to 976 of the family's 1831-position model. The record is from RNAcentral.
CAAUAGCGUAUAUUAAAGUUGUUGCAGUUAAAAAGCUCGUAGUUGGAUUUGUGGUGUACGCCGGCGGCCCGUCGCAAGACGGAGCUUGCUUGCGUCGCCAUCCUUGGGUGGAUCCUGUGUGGCAUUCAGUUGUCGUGCAGGGGAUGCCCAUCGUUUACUGUGAAAAAAUUAGAGUGUUCAAAGCAGGCUUAUGCCGUUGAAUAUAUUAGCAUGGAAUAAUAAGAUAGGACCUUGGUACUAUUUUGUUGGUUUGCGCACCAAGGUAAUGAUUAAUAGGGACAGUUGGGGGUAUUCGUAUUCCAUUGUCAGAGGUGAAAUUCUUGGAUUUUUGGAAGACGAACUACUGCGAAAGAAUUUACCAAGGAUGUUUUCAUUAA